CCUACGGGGGGCAGCAGUGAGGAAUAUUGGUCAAUGGCCGGAAGGCUGAACCAGCCAAGCCGCGUGAAGGACGAAGGUGCCAAGCAUUGUAAACUUCUUUUGUCAAGGGACAAAAUCAGGCUCGAGAGCCUGACCGAGGGUACUUGAAGAAAAAGCAUCGGCUAACUCCGUGCCAGCAGCCGCGGUAAUACGGAGGAUGCGAGCGUGAUCCGGAUUGAUUGGGUUAAAAGGGUGGGUAGGCGGACUGUUAAGUCAGCGGGAAAAGCCCGGGGCUCAACCCCGGAGAGCCGUUGAAACUGGGUGUCUUGAGAUUUCUUGCGGUCUGCGGACUGCGCGGUGUAGCGGUGAACUGCUUAGAUAUUGCGCAGAACUCCGAUUGCGAAGGCAGCUUACCGGCGGCGAUCUGACGCUGAGGCACGAAAGCGUGGGUAUCGAACAGGAUUAGAUACCCGGGUAGUC
This 459-nucleotide ribosomal RNA is filed under the name uncultured bacterium. Its description in RNAcentral is "partial 16S ribosomal RNA". It matches the Rfam family "Bacterial small subunit ribosomal RNA", at positions 338 to 795 of the family's 1533-position model. The record is from RNAcentral.